Long non-coding RNA from Bubalus bubalis (water buffalo), 662 nucleotides. RefSeq lists it as uncharacterized. The transcript has 4 exons. The record is from RefSeq and is a predicted model, not a curated record. NCBI's taxonomy places the organism in Eukaryota, Metazoa, Chordata, Mammalia, Artiodactyla, Bovidae.
GCUCCUUCAGGAUCCCAUGUGAAAACCCAACUAUUGAUGGCGUCAUCCGAAUUGGCUCCUGCCCUCAGCAGGCUAAUUGUGUAGGCUGGCAACUGCAGAGAGAAACCCGCAUCUCCCAGCCACUCCUUCCAUUGCCACCCUAUUCCACCCCUCAACAACCCUUCCGGCCCUCUCAGCAGAUGGCUGCUCACACAGCAUGUUCUUUUCUGUGGAAAAUCCUUAAGAAGCCCAGAGGCAAAGGAUGCUCAAAAAAAUUAUGUUUGCCAGUGGCGUUCUCUUUGCAGACUGUGGACCAGACUCAGUAAGGGAUACUCAGUGGGAGAAAUGAGCUGGGAGUCAUCAGGACAUCUGUUGCUGAGUUGCUGUGUGACUCUGGGUCAUCCAAGGACAGAAGACUCAGUUUCUUCUCCACUGACUUCUAGAAGCCUCCCACAUUUCUGUUUCCAGUUACCUGGUCCUGUUCCCUAUUUCUUCCUGGAGGAAUCGUUCCUAAGCCUAGGAUGGUCAGACACAUGAAGUUAAGAAUAGCUGAUUCAGGACUUCCAUAUUGGUCCAGUGGUUAAGAAUCCGCCUGCCAAUGCAGGAGGCAUGAAUUCAAUCCCUGUUUUGGGAAGAUCCCACAUGCCAUGGAGCAACUAAGCCCGUGUGCCAACAGCUACUGA